Molecule: non-coding RNA, 457 nt
Organism: Callorhinus ursinus (northern fur seal)
Lineage: Eukaryota; Metazoa; Chordata; Mammalia; Carnivora; Otariidae
Source: RefSeq, a predicted model, not a curated record
CACAACCCUGAGAUCAUGACCUAAGCUGAAAUCAAGAAGUCAGACUCAACGGACUGAGCCACCCAGGCGCCGGGCCCCUGAUUCUUAGGGGCAGAAAGCAGAUCGGUACUUGCUUAGACACAAGGUUUCAGGAGGAGGAACCUGUAAAAAUAAUGUGACCAGCUAAUAUAUCCUCAUGCCAGAUACUGAAUCGGAUGCAACCUAGGUGUGGGGAGGGACCAAUUUCACCCGUUAUGGAGAGACAGGCACUGUGAUACAGUGACGAACAGGCCGGUGGGGUAUUCGGUUGGGUCCGCUGGACAAAGUGAUGAUUCACAUCCUGGGCAAGACCGAGCAGUGGGACAUGCGAGAUUCCAUCACACUACUCAGAACGGCAUACUCCUGUGAGCCCCUGUGCUGGGCCAGAUCCAGCUCUACUCUUCUCCACUCUGCUUGGUGCCUAGAAGGAGGGAUGGAG